UACGUAGGGUGCGAGCGUUGUCCGGAAUUAUUGGGCGUAAAGAGCUUGUAGGCGGUUUGUCGCGUCUGCAGUGAAAAUCCGGGGCUCAACCCCGGACUUGCUGUGGGUACGGGCAGACUAGAGUGUGGUAGGGGAGACCGGAAUUCCUGGUGUAGCGGUGGAAUGCGCAGAUAUCAGGAGGAACACCGAUGGCGAAGGCAGGUCUCUGGGCCACAACUGACGCUGAGAAGCGAAAGCAUGGGGAGCGAACAGGAUUAGAUACCCUGGUAGUCCAUGCCGUAAACGUUGGGCGCUAGGUGUGGGGCUCAUUCCACGAGCUCCGUGCCGCAGCUAACGCAUUAAGCGCCCCGCCUGGGGAGUACGGCCGCAAGGCUAAA
This 377-nucleotide ribosomal RNA is filed under the name uncultured bacterium. RNAcentral describes it as "bacterial SSU rRNA". It matches the Rfam family "Bacterial small subunit ribosomal RNA", at positions 524 to 898 of the family's 1533-position model. The record is from RNAcentral.